This 119-nucleotide ribosomal RNA is filed under the name Salmo trutta (river trout). Lineage: Eukaryota; Metazoa; Chordata; Actinopteri; Salmoniformes; Salmonidae. The record is from RNAcentral.
GGUUACGGCCAUACCAGCCUGGGUACGCCCGAUCUCGUCUGAUCUCGGAAGCUAAGGCAGUGUCGGGCCUGGUUAGUACUUGGAUGGAGACCGCCUGGGAAUACCAGGUGCUGUAAGCU